UGUUGGAUAGUACAGUGGUAACACUGCCGCCCUUCACACGGGAGACCAGGGUUCGAAUCACGGUGGCGUAU
Danionella cerebrum is the source of this 71-nucleotide non-coding RNA. The record is from the annotation of a GenBank genome assembly. Lineage: Eukaryota; Metazoa; Chordata; Actinopteri; Cypriniformes; Danionidae.